UUAAUAAUUCCCAUGUGUCAGAUCACAUACAUAGACCAUCUGAGCAGAACUGUACCUCAGAAAAUACAAAAAUAUGCUGAAAACAUUCAUAAAUAGUCGAAUAUGAUAGAAAAAAAUACAAGACAAUAGCUUUUAUUAUCGUUACAUCAGGGCUUCAUGUCAGUCCAGCUCCACUACCAGAUGUUUUUGUGCUGUUUAAUACUUAAGAUUAAAUCAGUCUAGACCAGGGGUGUCCAACGUCCAAAAGCGGCCCUCCAGAGGGUCCAAUCCAGUCCUCAAAGUGGAAAAAUUCCAGAGAAGACAUUAACUGCAGAUUGUAAAUUAGUAAAACUAUAACUUUAAAAUAAUUUCUAGACAAUGACAAGUUGUUUAGAUCAGAAAGUAAAAUACUAGAUUGUUCAUUGUUCUUUUGUCAUUUUUGUAAUAUUUUGUCUGUUUUUUUCUUGUUUUUUGUCUUUUUGUCAUUUGGUCUCAUGAUUUUGUCAUUUUGUAUUUUGCUUCAUCCAUUGUUUUGUGUUUCGUUUUUGUCAUUCUGUGUUUUUUUUUUGUCUCACUUGUGUUUGGCUAUUUUUUUGUUGUGUUGUUCUCGUGUUUGGUCUUGUUUGUGUCAUUUGUGUAAUUUUUUUGCCUCAUUUUUGUCGUUUGUCCAUUUUUUGUCGCUUUGUAACUUUUUUGUCUAAUUUUUUUGUCUUUUUAAAUUUUGUGUCGUUUGUCGCAUUUUUUGUCAUUUUCUUCUUCAGUUUUGUCAUUUUGUGUCUUAGUUUUGUAAUAUUUUGUCUUGUUUUUGUUGUUUUUUCUCUUUUUUUGUCUGACUUUUGUCGUUUUGAUCAUAAAGUAAAAUCCUCUAUCGUUCCAGAUGACUAAAUGUUGUGUUCCUUUGUCGACACUGUUAUCUGGAAGUUGUAAUGUGGAAAUGAUAAACUGAGGCUGAAUGUUGAUGAAAUUGAAUUUAUUUUUCUGAAGAAAUUUCAGGUUGUUCCUAAUGUUUCAUAAAAAGAUAAUUCCUUAAAUGUGAACAUUUUUACACUAAAACAAAGGAACCAUUAGGAGUUGUGGUUAUUUAGAGGUUAUUAUGCUGUGGUUUUACAGGUUUUAUUGGUUUUACUGGUCUGGUCCUCUGGAAAUCAAACUGGAUUGGAUGUGGAAACAGUGGUGGAUCUUCCGUGGGGGCACGUGGGGGCAGCAGUCCCCCCUGUGAUCUGAUUCGACACGUGCACCCCCCAAAAUUUUCGUUGGGAAUUUACAUUAGUGAAACUCCGAUUUCCGACGCUCCUGAACGCAACUUCGUUGUCCGACUGCAACUGAAUGCACCAAUGACGUUAGUUUGAUCUUUUGAUUGUAUUUCGUUUGGAUUUUAAGAAGCUUUGAAGACCUUUCAUGAUGCCGGAGGAGAAGACGAGCAGCUUUGUACCUUUGCGACCAAAGAACUACAGACUCUUCAGAACCUGCUCAAACUCUUGGUACAGGACCUCACCACACGGGUCAAGAAGGUUUCUGUCUCAUUUCUACUCUGAAGCUCACCUUCUCCUGCUCAAACUGCUGACAAAUGUUUCUGCUGCUCUAAAGUCUGGUCUCCAGAACUUCCUAAAAACUCUCAAAGUCUCUUCUGCUGCAGGUUGCUUUGUAGAACUGUUCCAGAAAACCUCACUAAACCACAUGGAGGAACCUCAAGAUAGUCGUCCAAAUGAAACCAUACAAAAACCAAACUAGCACAACCCAAACACUAAAGUCUCCUGCAGCCUACCAGAGAACCUCUGAGAACAGAGAAUCAGGACAGGAACUCUUACCUUCUGGACAACCAACACUGGUUCUCAAACAAGAAUACAGAAUGUGUCUGACCAAAAACCUCUAAAGACUCACUACAGCCAAGAUAAAGACACAACUCAGCUGCAGCAAAUCCACUAAUCACUGCACACAUUAGCACCAUGUGCUAACUGUGGCUAAAGAACCACAUUUACCAAGACAACUAUCCAGUACAAAGCCCUAAAACACACCAAGAAACACAUUAAAGUCUAUUUUACUGCUGGAAGCUGCAAGCCAACGCCUAAAGAACAAAUUAAAGCAACGGAGCCAAACCCAGCUCAGUGGUGAAGAGAAACAGAGGAAAUGUUUGUCUGCAGCUAAACAAAGCAGGAAGACACUGAGCUGCUCAGGUGUUCCUGAUAAUACCAAGCUGCUCAGGUGUUCCUGAUAACACCAAGCAGCCACCUGGACAGCCAAUAGGAACACAGCUUACUGGAAGUCCAGAGGGCUGGCUUAGUCAAGGAAAUUUAGUUUAAAGUUGAAGCAGAAAGUUAACAAAGAAAGUUGAAAACCACCUUCUGAUACCUGAAAUCUCUGAGUUUUCACACAAAGAACGUCUGAACAUGUCAAACUGGUUCCAUAGUAGACCCAUCAUUGUAAAAACAUCAUAGUAUGGUGUGUUGCUCAAAAAAUAUUAGGACCCGGCUGUCUGGGGUCUUAGAGGAGCAACACAAAAACAGGACAAACGCUGGUUUCCAGGGGGUUAGGAGGAUAUUUAUUUGAAAGAGGAAGUUUACAACAACACGUGAGCAGAAAAGUCACAAAGUCUGUCUUUAGUUCAGCUGAAAAUGUUAGUUUUUGUCUUUUUUCUUUUCUUUUCUUACAGUUACAGAAAUGGUUUGAUUGCAGUGAUUGCCUCAAAAGGUUGUCCAAUAAAAUAUUAAGUUAAGGGUACCAUCAUUUUUGUCCAGGUCUGUUUCAUGAGUUUAUUUUUUUAAAUAAUUCUGUUGAACCACAGUUCUGAUUUUCAUUGGUUAAUUUUCAUAGAAUUACUUUUGUCAGAUUAAAAUUAUUUCUGUGACCA
Amphiprion ocellaris (clown anemonefish) is the source of this 2827-nucleotide long non-coding RNA. RefSeq lists it as uncharacterized. The transcript is spliced from 2 exons. The record is from RefSeq and is a predicted model, not a curated record. Lineage: Eukaryota; Metazoa; Chordata; Actinopteri; Pomacentridae.